This 232-nucleotide ribosomal RNA is filed under the name uncultured bacterium. RNAcentral describes it as "partial 16S ribosomal RNA". It matches the Rfam family "Bacterial small subunit ribosomal RNA", at positions 118 to 347 of the family's 1533-position model. The record is from RNAcentral.
UGGGCAACCUGCCCCCGACCCUGGGAUAACCCCGGGAAACCGGAGCUAAUACCGGAUACUCCGGCUGGAUCGCAUGGUCCGGCCGGGAAAGGUCCGCCGGAGAGGGAUGGGCCCGCGGCCUAUCAGCUUGUUGGUGGGGUCAUGGCUCACCAAGGCGACGACGGGUAGCUGGUCUGAGAGGACGACCAGCCACACUGGAACUGAGAUACGGUCCAGACUCCGUACGGGAGCA